CCUACGGGUGGCAGCAGUGAGGAAUAUUGGACAAUGGGGGAAACCCUGAUCCAGCGACGCCGCGUGAGUGAAGAAGUAUUUCGGUGUGUAAAGCUCUAUCAGCAGGGGAGAAAGAAAUUACGGUACCUGACUAAGAAGCCCCGGCUAACUACGUGCCAGCAGCCGCGGUAAUACGUAGGGGGCAAGCGUUAUCCGGAUUUACUGGGUGUAAAGGGAGCGUAGACGGUUAAGCAAGUCUGGAGUGAAAGGCGGGGGCCCAACCCCCGGACUGCUUUGGAAACUGUAUAACUGGAGUGCAGGAGAGGUAAGUGGAAUGCCUAGUGUAGCGGUGAAAUGCGUGGAUAUUAGGAGGAACACCAGUGGCGAAGGCGGCUUACUGGACUGUAACUGACGUUGAGGCUCGAAAGCGUGGGGAGCAAACAGGAUUAGAUACCCUUGUAGUC
RNAcentral lists this ribosomal RNA (443 nucleotides) under uncultured bacterium. RNAcentral's name for it is "partial 16S ribosomal RNA". It matches the Rfam family "Bacterial small subunit ribosomal RNA", at positions 338 to 795 of the family's 1533-position model. The record is from RNAcentral.